UCGAGAAUCUUCCGCAAUGCACGAAAGUGUGACGGAGCGACGCCGCGUGAUGGAUGAAGUAUUUCGGUAUGUAAACAUCUUUUAUAAGUGAGGAAGUAUAUUGACGUUAGCUUAUGAAUAAGGGGCUCCUAAUCUCGUGCCAGCAGGAGCGGUAAUACGAGAGCCCCGAGCGUUAUCCGGAAUUAUUGGGCGUAAAGGGUCAGUAGGUGGCCAUAUUAGUCUCUUGUCAAAGACCCGUGCUCAACACGGGGAAGGCAAGGGAAACGGUAUGGCUAGAGUCUGUGAGGGGUGUGCGGAACUCAAGGUGUAGGGGUGAAAUCCGUUGAUAUCUUGGGGAACACCAAAAGCGAAGGCAGCACACUGGCGCACGACUGACACUGAAUGACGAAACCCUGGGUAG
This 400-nucleotide ribosomal RNA is filed under the name uncultured bacterium. Its description in RNAcentral is "bacterial SSU rRNA". It matches the Rfam family "Bacterial small subunit ribosomal RNA", at positions 355 to 768 of the family's 1533-position model. The record is from RNAcentral.